CUGGGCAAACCCUGGGGCAGGAUCGGGGCUGGGUCUCCUGCCACCUGGUCCGAGCCGCGCCGCCUCCUGCCAUACAGACCCCGGAGACCGGGCGCUGCUGGAGGUGCCGUGCGCGGGGAGCAGGGCCCCCACCUGGGCCAAGGCCUCUCCUGCAGGGGAAAUGGCGGCCUGGGGCAGCCCCCGGGGGGACCAUGGAGGAGCAGGACCCAGGAGUGGACGGGGCAGGACAGGUCCCUUGCGUGGCCCAGGCCGGGCUCGGGGGUGCGUCAGCCCUGCGGGAAGUGGCGCGGGGGGGAGCCGGGGGCAGGAGGUGAGGCAGCCUGUGCAGCCCCCAUCGUGCCCCCGCCGCCCCACAGACCCCAGCGCUGGCACCGGCACGAGCUCCCCAUGCAGGGACCUGGAGCCGGCACACCCCGGGCUGCGCUACCAGGAGGCCGAGGGCCUGCGGGAGGUCUGCAUCCGCCUGCGGGAGCUGUGCCAGGGCCGCAUCCAGGAGCAGACGGCGGUGCUGGAGCUGCCCCGGCCGUCCUGCCCCAGGAGAUGCGGAGCUGGGCGUCGCGGCGCAGGGUGGAAACCUGGGACGAGGCAGUGACCCUGGCAGAGGGGUUUGGCUGGGGCAGGUGGAGGAUGAGGAGCUCCACGUGUGAGCGUUUCGCCCUGAUCGUGGGUGCUGCCAACCCCGUCUCCGUGUGCCUGGGGGAUGUUUCCUGCCCCCCCGACUCUCCCAGUCCCAGCUCCCUGGUGAUAUGUUCCUCUUGUCCCCAGGUCACGGUGAGCGUGCAGGGCGAGGAGGUGGCCUCAGACCGGUUGCAGCCCUCUGGGGCGCUGCAGCAGCCUGGCAGUCCCUGGCCGGAGCAGGCGCGGGCCCAAACUGCGGAUGCGCCUCUAGAGGCGGCAGCGCAGCGGGACUGCCCAGGGCCUCUGACUCAAGGAUUUUGACUUGAUUUGGCUUAGAACAUGAAACAUUUCUUUAAAAACAAAACAAAACUGGGUGAGGGCAUGCACGUCUACCCCUCUGCCCGUGGCUGCACCCACCUCCCCUGCCAAUGCAGAAGGGGGCAUUUUGCACCCCUGGAUGUCAUGGCCUAGCUUGCAGAGAGGUGUCAUGCAGAGGGAUUGUGGAGAGGGUGGCAGGGGCUGGAGGAUGCUGGACUGAGUGACACUGAUGGGGUAACGCUUGUGCCUGCAGCUCCAGGAGGCCUUUGAGGACGUGGCUGUGUAUUUCACACAGGAGCAGUGGGAGCUGCUGGAAGAUGCACAGAAGGGGCUUUACCGGGACCAGAUGCUGAGGAACUGGCAAGCCCUCAUUUUUGGGUAAAGCUGUUUCCCGCUUCUCCGUCCAGCUGUGUCAGCGCUGACCCUUACUGUCUUCUCCCUGCUUCUCAGCUCUCUCAUCCUCAUGAACUUUCCCGUGGGGUUUGAAAUCCAUGGCCUCCGCACAGCUCCUUGCAUGAUCACGUGUCUGUCAUGUUUAACACCAACAUCUCCGGCCUCGUUUGAUUUGGGCUCCUUCACUGGAGUCUUCCCUGUUCUUGUAACCCCCAGUGCUUCCAUAUCCAGCCACAUCUUGGCGAGUGGAUCUCCCUUUACCUUUUCAGCAUGGUCAUGUCAGCUCCAGUUCAUUGUGCAGAAAAAUUCCCUGCCAGCUGUUCCUCAGGGAAUGGGUCUGAUUUCUUCCCUGUCCCACCUGGUGUGUCCUGUCCCACACGUCAAACAGUGACUGGUCAGUCAGUGCUUUCUCCUCCUUUGGUUAUGAUGCAGCAUAAGGUCAUGGAUGUCUUCUUAGCCUGUGGUACUGCCACCCUUAGGAUUAGCAUUUACAUUACUCCAUCUCUAGCAACCUGUGCACACACAAUGGGAUCCAGGAACUUCCCUCUCCGGAUCCCUGGGAGCUUCUGCCCACGUUUCUUCCUGUGGUCUUCAUCGCCACAGGCUCUGGCUGUGUUUACGUGGAGACCUGCUCCCAAGCUCGCUCUGCCGUUCACCAAAGUUGUCAUUUCCUCCUCCCGACACCCCUCUGCAUGUCAGACACCCGUCAUAGUGAUAAAAAAGAGGUGGGCUGAGUGCAGGCCUGGUGAAAACCGGUUGUCAUUUUCAUAGGGUCUCUGAUACGGGUUUUCUAGCUUGUGGGCAGGGCUGAGGGACUUACCUUGUACCAGGUCAAUUUGCUUUUCUAGUGUUUUCUCUUCCCUCCAGUUCCCCUGAAGGACUUUCUUUGGGAACGGCUCCAAGCCUUUUAGUUGCUCAGAAAAGGCCAUGUCAGCCAUUCCUACAUUAUGGGCUUUCACAUGCUCCAAGAGGUGUCUGCUUCUGUUGUCUGUAUCCAAGACUCCCAGAACCUUUGUUUCAAACCCUACAAGAUUUCCUGGCUUGUGUGUUCAUCUCCCCUCCUGGGAUGAUCUUCCCACUGGAUGGGAUGAUUGCAUUUGUUGCCACGGCAGUUCUUAUAAAAUCCAACCUUUGCAGCAAAGAAACUUCUAUUCCUUGGCCUGGAAUGACACUGCUAAGAUAGAUGUUAUCCAGCCACCAGUGUGUCCAGCGUCUCUUCAUUUUGGUGCCUUUUAAAUAGUGAAAGCUUCAUCUCUAUGCUCUUUAGCACAUCACAUGUCACCAUCUCUACCCCCAUCAACCCCAGUGCCCAGUCAUGAAUGCUUUUUAACCACUGCCCCAACCAGGAUAUCGUGGUCCCACCCCUGACUCAGAUUCAUAGAUGUUAGGGUCGGAAGGGACCUCAAUAGAUCAUCGAGUCCGACCCCCUGCAUAGGCAGGAAAGAGUGCUGGGUCUAGAUGACCCCAGCUAGAUGCCUAUCUAACCUCUUGAAGACCCCCAGGGUAGGGGACAGCACCACCUCCCUUGGGAGCCCGUUCCAGACCUUGGCCACUCUAACUGUGAAGAAGUUCUUCCUAACGUCCAGUCUAAAUCUGCUCUCUGCUAGCUUGUGGCCAUUAUUUCUUGUAACCCCUGGGGGCGCCUUGGUGAAUAACACCUCAUCAAUUCCCUUCUGUGCCCCCGUGAUGAACUUAAAUGUGCCACAUUGCACAAGGACAGGAGGACCUCUGGGUCUGUGAUGAUGAGGACCGUGGGGACAUCUCCAAGUCAGAGGACCUUCUCCCAGGCCAUGAAUAUCACAGAGCUCAGGACUCAGCAGGGUGGCCUCAUGCAAAAACCACGAUCCGGAAGGAUUAGCAGCUGCUGAACAUAUGUUGUUGCAAGCCUGUUACUGUACUUGCAUGGCGGCAUACGUGCCAUUUAGGUGGAUGAAGUGAAAGAGGAUCCAGAUCCCCAUGUCUCUCUGCAUGUCAGCUUCCUGCUGUUGUGCUUUAGCAAGCGUUCCUGCAAUGCAGUUGUGUGGGGAGGAUCUCUCCAUACCUGUUCUACCUACUGGGUCAAGUGUCUUCAGGGCCUUUCUCAGAUUUGAGUCUACCAGUUAGAGAAAUGUCCCUGUCCUGCAGCUUCCAUUUGAUCCAGGCACCUUAGUGGGACAUCUUCUCCCUCAAACACUUGGACGUGAGAACGGCAGCUUUUUUGGCCAUCACUACAGGCGGGAGCAUCAGUGACAGAGGAGUCCCCAGGGGUCCCUAGCCCACAUCCCCUCUCCCCACCCAACGGGCAAGGUUCCCUUUGGGCCCCGUUAGCAGCCUAAAGGUGAUUUCUGGUUCUGUCUUUGCUCCAUCCCUGCAGGCGCUGGUGUGACCAGCCCAGAGCCCCACACUAAGCCAUGAAGGCAUUAGAUUGCACUUUUGUCUGCACUCAGCACAAACAUAUCUCUAGUAUUUGCAAAGACAUAUCUGGGUCCAUAUGGUGUGAGGGAGACAAUGACUGCAGAGCUUCCCAACCACCUCCGGGCUCCUCCAGGCCUUGUCUGAACUCAGGCAUCAGGGUGAGGGCAAUUCUCACAGCUUCCUUGUCUCAGGGCCCAGCUCCUAAGAGGAGCAACAGUUAUCUUGUCAUGUUCACACCUGACUUAUUCCUCUGCAAGCUUUCAGAUCAUGGGGUCCAGGUCAAGACAGCAUCUGGGAAGCCCAUGCUUCCUGCCGAGAGAGCCACUUAAGUCACCAAGAGCACCAACAGCUGGUGUUUCAUCGGACCUUCACCCCCUCCCCAGGGCCAGGAAAAUCAACAAAUCUGGGACCCGCUUGCUGCAUGCUCCUUGCAGAACAGGUGGUCAGAGAUGGGGGGAUCAUGGGCCCUCUUUUGAGAGGGACAAUCACACUAGGGUCGGAAAGCAGAGCUGGCCCCUGACCCUGCUAAUAGAGGAGGAGACCAGCUUGACCCAGAAUCAACCUGGACAGCCCCGAGUUUACAUCAGGGAGGACACAGGUCUCAGCUCUGUGGCCCAUGGGCAGGUGGCCCUUGUGGCAGAAAUGCCACCGUCCAUGCCCCUCUCCAGAGACCUGUCUCUGCCAGCCUGAGAGGCUGGUGUUGAAUCCUUCAGGGCGGGGAUCUCCCACCUUGUCUGCAUGACAAAAGCCUGGGGCCUGAAUGCUCUGGUCACCUGGGCAGGGGGGAAAGGCCCCGCCCUGUGUGCGGGCCCAGGUAGCCAGGGAUGCUUGGUAGAUUGGUCAGCUUGUGGCCUGUAUUGGCACCUUCGAUUGGACCGGGCUGUUGAGGUCAGAGAGGUUAUUUAAGGGCCCGGUCCAGGAAGAAGGAGCCAUUAGCCAUGCGGUCAUCCAGGUGAAUCUGAAACUGGCUCUCUCCUCAUCACCGCAUGCUCCAAGAGUGCCCUGCCUCCAGCAGAAACUCCAACCACCUCUGGAUGAUGCGAGUGAGUAAGCUACUCGAGAUCCGAUUAGAUAUUUAGCUUCAGUAACUCAGAUGCAUGUUUAAACGGCUACCUCAGCCACCCUGGUUUGCUCUGUGGGAUUCCUGUAAUAUUCCUCUGAUAUUGUUCUACCUUUUACCCUGUUUCUGCCCUACCUCCUGAAUCAAUAAAGUUCUCCUUGUGA
Alligator mississippiensis (American alligator) is the source of this 4947-nucleotide long non-coding RNA. RefSeq lists it as uncharacterized. The transcript has 2 exons. The record is from RefSeq and is a predicted model, not a curated record. Lineage: Eukaryota; Metazoa; Chordata; Crocodylia; Alligatoridae.